AGUGGGGAAUAUUGCACAAUGGGGGAAACCCUGAUGCAGCAACGCCGCGUGAGUGAUGACGGUCUUCGGAUUGUAAAGCUCUGUCUUCAGGGACGAUAAUGACGGUACCUGAGGAGGAAGCCACGGCUAACUACGUGCCAGCAGCCGCGGUAAUACGUAGGUGGCAAGCGUUGUCCGGAUUUACUGGGCGUAAAGGGAGCGUAGGCGGACUUUUAAGUGGGAUGUGAAAUACCCGGGCUCAACCUGGGUGCUGCAUUCCAAACUGGAAGUCUAGAGUGCGGGAGAGGAGAGUGGAAUUCCUAGUGUAGCGGUGAAAUGCGUAGAGAUUAGGAAGAACACCAGUGGCGAAGGCGACUCUCUGGACCGUAACUGACGCUGAGGCUCGAAAGCGUGGGGAGCAAA
RNAcentral lists this ribosomal RNA (402 nucleotides) under Clostridium quinii. RNAcentral describes it as "bacterial SSU rRNA". It matches the Rfam family "Bacterial small subunit ribosomal RNA", at positions 353 to 772 of the family's 1533-position model. The record is from RNAcentral. Lineage: Bacteria; Bacillati; Bacillota; Clostridia; Eubacteriales; Clostridiaceae.